RNAcentral lists this ribosomal RNA (407 nucleotides) under uncultured bacterium. Its description in RNAcentral is "partial 16S ribosomal RNA". It matches the Rfam family "Bacterial small subunit ribosomal RNA", at positions 30 to 526 of the family's 1533-position model. The record is from RNAcentral.
AUUGAACGCUGGCGGCAUGCCUAACACAUGCAAGUCGAGCGGAGCGGCGGACGGGUGGGUAAUGCCUAGGAAUCUGCCUUGUAGUGGGGGAUAACGUCCGGCAACGGACGCUAAUACCGCCUCCUCUCAGCUGACCCUAGGUCGUAUUAGCUAGUUGGUGGGGUAAAGGCCUACGAUGGCGACGAUCCGUAACGGGUCUGAGUGGAUGAUCAGACACACUGGAACUGAGACACGGUCCAGACUCCUACGGGAGGCAGCAGUGGGGAAUAUGGGACAAUGGGCGAAAGCCUGAUCCAGCCAUGCCGCGUGUGUGAAGAAGGUCUUCGGAUUGUAAAGCACGUUAAGUUGGGAGGCGUUACCAACAGAAUAAGCACCGGCUAACUUCGUGCCAGCCGCCGCGGUAAUAC